CCUACGGGAGGCUGCAGUGGGGAAUAUUGCACAAUGGGGGGAACCCUGAUGCAGCAAUGCCGCGUGGGUGAAGAAGCACUCCGGUGCGUAAAGCCCUGUCAGCAGGGAAGAAAAUGACAGUACCUGGACAAGAAGCCCCGGCUAACUACGUGCCAGCAGCCGCGGUAAUACGUAGGGGGCAAGCGUUAUCCGGAUUUACUGGGUGUAAAGGGGGCGCAGGCGGCGUGGCAAGUCAGAUGUGAAAACCCGGGGCACAACCCCGGGAGUGCAUUGGAAACUGCCAUGCUGGAGUGCCGGAGAGGAGAGUGGAAUUCCCGGUGUAGCGGUGGAAUGUGUAGAUAUUAGGAGGAACACCAGUGGCGGAGGCGGGUUACUGGACGGUAACUGACGCUGAGGCUCGAAAGCGUGGGGAGCAAACAGGAUUAGAUACCCGGGUAGUC
Molecule: ribosomal RNA, 440 nt
Filed under: uncultured bacterium
Lineage: Bacteria
Description: partial 16S ribosomal RNA
Rfam family: Bacterial small subunit ribosomal RNA
Source: RNAcentral